AGGAGGGAGGCAGAGAACGAGAAGGGGGCGGCCCGGGAGCCUGGGAGGUCCGGCCGCUCGGGUGCGCGCUGUGCGCAGCCUCCAUUUUGGAGUCGGGCAGCUGCGACGGAGGCCGGGUCCGGCCAGGGAAAGGAAGGAGCCAGUCAGUUUGUGCUUCAAGAAGUCUGAAUUAUUCUACCUACUAGUCCACCGGAGAGUGCUCCUCCUAAGGCUACCCCAGUGACAUCAUAUGAUGGAGUGCAAGGCUCACAGUUUAGACUUUAUCUUACGUGAUGGUGAACUGCAUCCUUCUUGAAGGUUUUUAUCUUUCCCCUCAGACCCCUUAACCUAUAUGUCUUUCUCUUCAGGUAAUUUUUCUCAGUCUCUUCAAUCCUUAUCUUCAGUUUUAGGUGGCUCAUAGUCCUACUACUGCACACUAGGCAAUCUAACCAUUCUCCUGCUUGCAAAAGCUGAAUGUACGUACAUUUAGUGAGAUCCAGAUCUGCAUAUGUGCCUUUUGGACAGUCCACUUGCCUACCAACGCCAUGUCCAAAUUGGACCUCCUAUGCUUUCUGAAGUACACAAAAUGUGCUCCUCUAUUCCUUUUCUUCUUUGACAAUAUCGCUGUCCACUCACUUUCCCAAGUCUAGAACCAGGGGUAAUCCACCAUCCACUUCCUCACUGCUUCAAAAUAUCUCUACUUGUAGAGUGAUCUGGAAUGCCCCCGAAGUCUAGUAUGUUAAAACUUGGUCUCCAGCUUGGUACUAUCCAGAGGUGGUGGAACCUUUAAGAGGUACAGCCUAAUAGGAAGUUUUCAUUCAUUGAGAUUUUGCCCUCAUAGGAGAUUGUGGAACCCUGUUUCUUCUCUUUCUCUUUCUGGUCAGGGUGUGAGCACGUUUACUCCACCACAUAGUCCCACCAUAAUGUGGCGUCUUCAUCCCCUACUAGAGGCCUAAAAGUAAUAGGUCCAUCCUAUCAUGAACUGAAAUCUCCCAAAACCCUAAGCAUUUUUUUCUUCAUUAGUUGAUCAUCUCAGGUAUUACAGUGGUGGAAAGCAGAUCAACAUAUACUAUCCUUUCUUACUUUCUUUUUGUUUAUUUUAUUUUCAUUUGUUCUACUUAGUUGUAUAUGACAGCAGAAUGUAUUUCAAAUGCCCUCUCCUGUCCAUUUCCAUUGCCAUUUAUUCAUUCGGCCAAUAUUUGCUUAAAAUGUGCCAGGCAUUGUUUGAGAUGCUCAGGAUAUAUUGGUAAACAAAACUGACAGUGUUACUGAAUAGGGUGAGACAAAUGGUAUAUGAAUAAAUUAGUAACUAAAGAAAACAAAUCAAGGUUGAUAAGUGUUAUGAAGACAAUAAAAUAGGAACAUCUAUCAGAACCUCAGAGUCCGUUGCCCAGCUCUUCACUGCAGUUUCCCUGCCCCUCUUCUCAUUCUUUCUUAUUUUCAGGAUCCUUGGUCCUAAUCCUUUCAUCUGGAGUCUUGAUUUCAUUCCCUUUCAUCUAAAAGGACUUUCUGGUCUUUAUGUUGUUAUGUUAUAGCUGCCUAAAUAGCAAAUCUCCCAAAUAGAUGAUAAGCUAUUUGAGAUCAGAGAUCAUUCAUACCUUAUAUAUCUUUGUGCCCCUGCAGUGCUCAAAGAUGAGUAUUAAAUGAAUCAGUGAGUCCCCUGACACCUGAAUCAGGAUGCCAUAAAAACAACUCCAGCCUGUAUCAGAAUGGGAAGAUCUGAAACUCACCAAUUUGAUGGAAUAGGAAUGAUACCUGGAGGCAGGGGACAGGAUUAUGAAUGAAGUCACCUAUUUUGGUACCUUCCAGACCUGAGAUUCCACAAUGCUAUUCAUCAUGUAUUGCAGUAGUUACUUCAUAAAUACUAGUUUACUUGAGAGUGUCAAGUACAUGGGGCAAUUUAUAAGUAUUCUGUUUCAGAUGAUGAGCCUCAAACCCAGAGAAGUCUGGGUGAAUUGCCAGGAUAGGCCCUGCAGGGGAAGGUUGCAAUUGCUAUUUCACUUUGUAUUUCCAGGCCCUUGGGUAUUGCACCCCAACAGGGAACGGGAUGUUGCCAGUUCCGUCAUAGUCAUUGUAAUUAAAUCCUAGUUCUGGCAAAGGGCAGUACAUAAUUAUGAAGUAUUAUGGUUUUUCUCAUUAUUAGGCACCCAGCUGCCCAGCCCAGGAAACCACAGUAGUAAAACACUGAGAAGCCAAGCUCCUCUCCCAGCUGGCAUGAAUCAAUACCAGGUGUACUGGCACAUAGUUUUACAGCUCCACAUUCAUCAAGAUGAGACCUUCUGUCCCUUCUUUUUGGCAAGAUAAAAUUUUAAGUAAAUUGUUAGAGGAAAUGUAAAGAAAGACCUUUGCCACCACUUUUGAAUCAAAUUAACAGCCUUUUCUCAUCUACAUACCUACUGCAUAAACUUUUUUUCAACUUUAUCCUUGACCUGCUCACUUCCUAAACAUCAUUCUACAAUGUCUCCUGACAUUAAAGGGCACUCAAUUAGGGUGAGAGUAUAAAACACAAGGAGUGCUUUUACUUUCAAGAAGCUUAUCAUGUAGACUACUAAUUCAAAAAGCAUAGUCAGGUUUGACAAGAAGCCUGCCACUUACUGAACACAUACCCAGUGCCAUAGUUGGCAUUUUCACCUAUUUUAUCUGAUUUAAUCCACACCACUCUGCAAGGGAGGCUUUAUAAUCCCCAUUUUCUUCAAAGUUACAAAGGCAGUAAAUGACAGAACUCAAGAGUUCAACAUAAAUGCAGAAAUUUGGUGAUUGUAUACUCAUACUGGAUUUUUCCAUACUGGUAGCUGAAUUUAUAUUCAGAUUUCACCUCUUUCUAUCAGAUAAAAAUGGUUUCUUGAAUAAAGUAGAUCUUAAACUGAGCACUGGAAGGAUAAUUCGGAAGUGAUUCUGAGGGAAUGGUGCCAAAGAAGGAGGCCAAAUUGGCCAUAAGCCUAAAAUCAAUCAGUAAGGGAGAUUUUUUUUUUGUUCGGAGAUGAGUCAUAUUAUAUUCUUCAAGUACCUUUAUUGUCUCAGCUACUCCAAAUGGGGAAGUCAAUCCAUGUGGUUCUGGGUUGGGAGGCAGGAGCUGAGGAAGGGUAGGCCAAGGAUAGGUGUGGGUUGUUUCAGGAGGAAAUAUUUUGAAUGGAGAACUCCCCAAAUGCCGAUAACUGGCAUACCUAGCAAUGCUGGGUGAGGCUGAUUGUUACAGGGAGAAGGACUAUUUGUGUAUGUGGUAUUAUUGGGGAUCAAACCCUUACUCUUGCACAUGCUGGGCAAAUACUCUGCCACCGAGGUACACCUAUUCCUCAACUUUUGUUUAGAUGACUCCAAAAUCUAGAUUUCCAGCCUUGACCUUGCUUUCAACGUUUAGAUCCCCAUUUUCAGCUACCCACUUCACUUGUCAACAGGGGUCUUACAAACAGGCAUCUCAAACCAAACAGGACUAGUGGCAAAUGCUUUAACUUAACUAUAAGAAAACUCCAAACUGCCAUUUCCUUCCCAAGCCUUUUUUUUUUUUUUUUUUUUUGUAUUCCCCAGUUUGGUAAUCAUCAUCUACCAAGUCAUAUACUCUAGAAGUUUUUCAAAAGAAUCUUUUCUUCUCCCUCUCUUCCAGCUCCUAAUGUCAGUAAGUGAUUCUAAAGGACACACACUUCUUUUAAUAGGUACUUCCCAUUUCCACUGUCCUCAUUCAGUUGCAUGAUUAUCUCAGUUGCAUGAUUGCAAAAAACUCCAAACUCCUUUUUUCAUGCUCCAAUUCAUGCACCAAUCUGCCACUAUAAUUUCUUUUGGAAACCUAGAUCUAUAUGACUUUUAAUUACCUGCUUUCAUGGGCUGUGCAACUGCAUGCAAAAUGGCAUUAAAAAUAUUUUUACUUCCACUCUGGACUCCUCUGCUCCCCACUACAGGGAGUCCUGUAUUUAUUUUCAUCUUUCUGUGCUUUUCAUCCACUCUUUGCCUGCAUUGUGCUGCCUCUUCCUCCACCUAAACACUCCUUUUCAUUUUCCAUAGGCCUGUUUAAAUGACUUUUCGUCAGUGAAGCCUUUCCAGACCUCUACCAUAAAAAUAGUCCUUCUCCCUGUAACAAUCAGCCUCACCCAGCAUUGCACCAUACAUUUAUCACACUGAAUAGACACAAUGGUGAAAUAGAACUGGGGAGCUGAGUUAGAAGACAAAAAAAUCUAAUGGGUCAUUCACUGUGCCAUCCAAUGCAAGUCACAAAACCUCUCUGAGCCUCAGUUAUUUUACUUAUAGAAUUGUAGUAAAAACAACUAUAAUUACAAAGCUGUCUUCCGAUGGGUUCUAAGUACAUUGAGAGCAAAACAAACAUCUGGUCAUCUUUCUAUUCUUUCCCCAAAAUAGCACCUAUCUCUGCCUGUUCCAUAGAUUGUUUUAUGAUAGAAAUUACUAUUUUUUUGUAGAAUUAUAUUCUCCCAAUUAUUCCCUUAAUCAUCUUAUCCUAAUAAUGUCUCUUAAAAGACAAUCAUGACAUCUUCAUUUCUUUGUAUAAUUGUUUAUUGCCUUUAUAGUUAAAUAGUCACAUAAGAAGGUCUCUGAAGGGACAAAAUAUAUAUUUUAUAUAUGAUAAAUUUUAGAGGCCUUUAUUUACUGGAUAAAAACUUUGGAAAGCCAUAACAGUGCCCUAUUCUAGACAUUUAAUCAUAUGGAAAUGAAACAAUAGUUCUCAUAAAAUAUUACAGUGAUGAACAAUAAACAUAAACCUAGAUUCUAAUCUAUAUAGUUAAAAUGUGCAGCCAAUAGAAGAUGAGCCAUUAGGUAGAUGAAAGUUCAGUUUUUAGAGUUCUAGUUCCAUGGCAGUCACUGUGCUAGGUGCAGAGAAUACAGAACUCAAUGAAUAAAAUUCUUUGUUAAAAAAAUUCACAGAUUAGUGGAAACAUUGUCUCAUAGUUUAGUAAUUUCAGUGGAAUGUUUAGGCACAAUGACAAAGCUAAGCACAAGUUAUAAUGAGAGAGUAUCAAGAAGGAAUACUGAGGCUAGGGUUGUGGCUCAUUGGUAGAGUGCUUGCCUCACAUGUGUAAGGCACUGGGUUUGAUUCUCAGCACCACAUAUAAAUAAAUGAAUAAAAUGAAGGUCCAUCAACAACUAAAAUAUAUAUUUAAAAGAGAAGGAACACCUAGUGCAGCCAGCUAUUUGAACCAGAAGUCCCACCUUCUUGAGAAGAGAACUACUGAACUUUCUUGACAUUUAUAAAUACGUGUAGCAAUCCACAUUCUAACCUUUAAUGUAAUUCUUUAUGAGUCAAUAAUUAAGUAUGAUCCUCCUCAGCAACACCUUCCAGGGUCUCCAAUUUAUUUAUUUAUUUUUUUAAAAAAUGUUUUUAGUUGUAGAAGGACAUGAUACUUUUAUUUAUUUAUUUAUUUAUUUUUAAUGUGGUGCUGGGAUCGAACACAGUGCCUCACACAUGCUAGGCAAGCACUCUACCACUGAGUCACAACCCCAGCCCCAUUUAUUUAUUUGAAGAAGAAAAAAAGAUGUGAAAAAAAUAGCAAGGACACCAAAAAUACUAGGCAGAAGCAAGGUUCUUGGAUAAGGAGAAUAAGACUCAGUAUGGUGCAGACUUCUGGAGCUGCCUGCUUAAACCAUAUCAAUGAUGUGCCUUUGGUUGAGCAUUGAUUCAGGGCUUUAUUUUUGUUUUUGAUUAAUAGCAACUAUAAAUUUUAUGAAAUUGCCAUAUGACUUCUCUCAAGCUUUUUUCUUUUUAGUAUAUGUUUAUAUUUGACCAACCAAUAUACUCACGUUUCACAAAUCAAAAAAAGAAAAUAGGUACAGAGUGAAAAGUGCCUCUCUAUCCCUACCCCUCCUGUUUGUUUCUCAUUGACCCUCAUAGGUAGAGAUAACUGUUAAGAUAGUUUUCUCUGUGUAUCCUUCCAAUGUUUCUUCAAGAAAAUAUAAACAAGUCUUUAUCUAUUUUUUUCUCUUCCCCCUUCUUACAUAAGAGGUGGCAUAUUGUAUCCCCUGAUUUGCAUCUUGCUUUUCCCUCUAGCGAUGUAUCUUAGAGUUUUUUCCUGUCAGUACUAGCAGAGCUUCCUCAUUCUUUCAAACAGCUGCAUAGAUUGCACUGCAGGAUAUGCCAUAGUUUAUUUAACCAUUCCUCCAUUGAUGAACACUUGGGUUGUUUCCACUCUUUGCUGUUUAUUAUGAACAAUGCUGUGAUGAAUAAUAAGGCAUGUAUGUAAGCAAGAAUAUCUUUAGAAUAAAUUCCCAGAAGUCUCCCAAACUUUUUAAUAAACUUUAAUAAAACCUUCUAAGGAAUGUUCUAAGAUGGUGUGACUGGGUUUCCAAAUUAGAACCUCAGCUUUCCAAGGAUUAACUUUCACAUUCCAAUAAGAGUAGUUCUUCAUUCUUGGCCUGUAAAUUAUAUCUUUGUAUUUUUUCCAAUAAGGAAACAUUUUUAUAUUCAAUCUGCCUCUCCUGAAACCAACAAUAGUUGGAAUGAUGUUUUUGGAGAAGGAGAAGGGGAAAGGUAAAGAAGACCCAAGAGAGAAUAAAAAUAUAUGAUUAUGCCCCAGUUAAUGAAUUGAAAGCACUAGAAAAUACCUGAAUUUUCUUAAUCCAUCAUACAAAAGUAUCUCUGGAAUGAGGUCUCAGGGAUAUCGGGUUUGGAGUAGAGAACUUGUAAAAUGAACCCAGGCCAACAAAGUUCUAGUGCUGCCUUCACCCCAGAGUCAGGUACCCCUCUAACAUUUUUUUAUUAAUAUCCCUUCUUUUUUUUUAACUCAAUCUUUUGAAUACAAAAAAUAUUUGUUUUAGUUGUAGGUGGACACAAUAACUUUUAUUUUAUUUUUAUGUGGUGCUGAAGAUUAAAACCAGUGCCUCAUGAGUGCUAGGCAAGUGCUCUACCACUGAGCCACAACCCUAGUCCCUUAGAAUCCCAUCUUACUUCCCUUAAUAAUUCUUUAUUUUCUCAUAGUCUCUUUUGGAAAAUUGGCUUAAGGAUUUGAUGAAGUGGGUAGAUUUUUGUAAAUGUGCUUUAUAACUGGGUAAUGUAGAGUAAGUAUUCUAUCUUUUCUUUUAAUAUUUAUUCUUAAGUUUUAGGUGGACACAGUAUCUUUGUUUUACAUUUAUGUGGUACUGAGGAUCGAACCCAGUGCCUCGUGUAUGCCAGGUGAGCACUCUACCACUGAGCCACAACCCCAGCCCCUAAAUAUUCUAUCGUUACACUAAUUUUUUUCCCUACCACUGUAGACUUUCUUAUUUUCUAGAUUUCAGAUGUAUGAGACCUGAAUGGAAUAAUCCUACGGUACUUAGUUUACAAGAGAUCUUUGGGAGAACGCAUACAAAUGCAGAAAUAUAUAUCAGUGAUACAUCAGUGAAGGCUGCCCCCCCCCUUUUUUAGAGAGAGAGAGAGAGAGAGAGAAAGAGAAUUUUUUAAUAUUUAUUUUUUAGUUUUCGGUGGACACAACAUCUUUAUUUUUAUGUGGUGCUGAGGAUCGAACCCAGCGCCCCACGCAUGCCAGGCGAGCGCGCUACCACUUGAGCCACAUCCCCAGCCCCAAGGCUGCCCCUUUAACAAUUCUGUACUUCUUAAGAAGUUACCCCAGCUGGGCAUGGUGGUAUACACCUGUAUUCCCAGCUCUGGAGGCUGAGGCAGGAGGAUCACAAGUUCAAGGUCAGCCUGGGAAACUUAGCUAGAGCCUAUCUCAAAAAUUUAAAAAAGGCUGGGAUAUAGCUAGCUCAGAGGUAAACCAUUCUCUCAGUUCAAUCCCCAGUACCAAAACAAAAUAAAAACCUACACAGCCACAGUUCUGUCAUUAUUAAAAAAAUAAAAUUAUCUUUUCACAUAGAAUUUCUCAUUGUUUCCAUCCCAUGUGGAUGGAUUAAUAAUAUUCUUAAUAAUAAAAGUCAGUAUGGACCACAUCCAAAUAAGGAGUAUUAAAAAGCCUUCCCUUUGGAUUUACUCUUAAUAUUUAUUAUUCACAUGAGAGCAUACUUAAAAUAUAUAGUAUCAAGUUACUAAAAUGUAGGUUAAAAUAUCAUUUGCAAUGGUGCCUCUUUUAGAGGAACAAGUUUUUUUAAAUUUUUUUUAAUUGUAUACGGACACAAUAUCUUUAUUUAUUUUUAUUUGGUGCUGAGGAUUGAACCCAGUGUCUCACAUGUGAGAGUCAGGCUCUCUACCACUGAGCUACAGCCCCAGCCCAAAGGAACAAGUUUUUUAUGGGAAAAUAUUUAUGGCCUCUGAAAUUAGUUCUAAUUAGAGUGAUAGUCUAUUAAUGUUUUAAGGCAUUAAGACUUAAGUGAGCAGUCUUGGGAUGAAUUAAUCUCUGGAAAAUGACAUCAAAAUGUAGGCUCAACAUCAACUGGACCAUUUUUGAACUGCUUUGGGUAACCUGAUAGAUAUUCUUUAUUAUCAAGAUUCCUUUGUUUCAUUACUUCUAAAAUUUUUCAAAAUUUCAAGGCACUUACAAAACACUUAGCUUGUUCUGGGAUAUUUUUUGUGAGUAGAUGGUAUGCAAACAAAAGGUAGAGUGACAGAUGCCAACUAUACAUUUUGCAAAAACAUCUUAUGCAUGUGUAAGCAGAGAAUUGGAUAACAUGAAAAGAGAUGUCUUAUACAGGUGGCACAUGGGAACAGGACAGGUCUUCUAAACUGGAUGGGCCUAUAAAAACAGGUGUCCUGAGCAUGUGUACAUCUGUUACACCUGUUCUUCUACAAAGAAAUUCCCUCUUAAAAUUUGAAUAGAUCUUCAGAAUCAGAUUCCAAGGUUGGCUGAGCUUAGUUCAGUUUUCCAUUAGUUUAAGAGAGACUAUGGGCACCUGAAUGGAUUGCAUAUAUUUUUGUGGUUCUUCUGAGACUUUAAUAUUUCCCCUGGCUCUUUAUUAUUUAGAGUUUAAGACUUAAAUCCUUUUACUUGGUCUGCAAAAAUAAUAAUAAUAAUCUUAUAGCAUUAAAUUCAUUGGCAAUGUGCUUUGGAGGGAAUAAAAUUGUGUUCUACAAAAGGGCUUGAAUAUACAGAAUUUCAAUGCUUCAAAUGAUGUAAUUUUCUAUAAUAUUUAGCCUGCCAUUUUUAGUUUAAUAUUGGGAUAAUAGGAGACUUUGAAGAAAAAGCUUAAGAGAGGCUAAUUUGCCUGGUAGUGCUUCUGUUCUUUUGUUCUUUUAGAAUCUAAAAUUAACCAACAUCUGCAGUGUCAACAAGGACUCCAUGUGGCAUUCAAGUUUGUACUUUUCCUAAAUAAUGCAUUUGAAGCAAUGUAAUCUGAGAGGAAUUCUGAGGUAAUAAUGAACAGAAUGCCUUUUAUUGUGUAACACUUUAUAGUUUCAAAGUGAUUUAUCAACUAGGACCUUAUUUGAUCCUCUCAACAAUAUUAAGAGGCCUGGAAAUUAAGUAUUUAUUAUUUCCAUUGACCAGAUGAGAAAACGGAGGUCCAAAGUGUUAAAGAGAUAUCAUCACAGUCAUAAACCGGGUUAAGUAGCAGCAUGAGAAUAAAACCCAAGCCAUCUGGUUCCUAACUCAGUAUCCUCUCUUCCUUAGGAUCAAGUUAUUGACAGUCCAUGUUCUAAUAGCAGUUUUCAAAAUAAUAGAUUCCACAAGCAACUCUGUAGGAAAAUAAAAAGAACUCAAUAUCAGAAACUAAAUAAUAAAUAUGCAUGUUUACAUUUCAAAAAUUUAAUGUAUUUCAUUUGCUCAAAUAAGUCAAUAGAUGUUUUCUAUAAAAUUUCAUUUGUUCCUUUUGUGAUUUUCUACUUUACCUUCAAAACAAAACUCUUUUUUCCUUGAGAAAUUAUACCUCAUAAAUUUUUAUUAGUCAUAUCUAGAAAAUUCAAAAACUUUCCAGUAAGAGAUGUUGCAACUAAGAGUAUUUUCCUCACAGUAAUAAACAUAAUUUAUGUCUACCUGAGUUUUGAAACAUUUUGUUUCAGUUUUAACUUCUGUAAAUUUCUGUGUCUUCUCAACCAUUCAGAAUUUCUGGGACAAAACCCAAGGUGGUUAAAACUUAAAGAAUGUAUUAGAAACAUAACUUGGAACUGGUACACAGUCAUGAAUUUAGAAGGGCCCAUUUUUAGUCUAAAUAAUGUUAUUGUCAAUCCUACUUUAUAGAAAUUUCUAGCUGUGUAAUAUUACCAUUUCUCUUUAAAAUGUGGUGAAAUUCAAUGGCUUUCAUUUCUUAAAAGUUUGAGACUUAAAAAUUAUGAAUGCUGGCAUUCUUGAAGUGGGACACUGUGAGUCUGUAAUGUCAAAAAGGUGCUGGCGUGUGUUCUCAAACAUUGACAGGCAGAUAUAUUUCCAACAAGUGGAAACACAGGGCUACACUGGCAAAAGGAGAAGCCAUCAAGAAUCUUAAUCAUGAUUUGGCCCCAUCUAUGCUGGUUCUGCAGAGGCUUCACAAAAGUGCAUCUUUAGGAAGCAUCUUCUACCAAGUGGAAAGCUGGCAAGAAGUAGCCUUAAACAUUGCUGACAGAGAGAAAGCAGAGCUUAUUUAAAACUAAAAACAAAACAAAAAAAAACUUUUCCAUUAACUAUUUGGAUAUGUCUCAGGAAACUACAAACAGAAAAGCAAUAUUUAAAUUUGAUACUGUCCAAACAUUCUUGCAACUCUACCCCUAUGUCUAGGAUUAGUAGAAAUAUACUGAUCUAACCUGAUAUGUUCUCUUUCUCUUACACACAUCAGCACACCUGGACAUAGGAACCAUACAAAAAGGGAUCCAGAGAAAAGGGGGCAAAGAAAAUGAUAUGGAAUGAACAAGCUACAGUGCCAAGAAUUGUCAUACUCUGGAGAAGCAAUCAGAGUCCUCAAGCUGCCUUUCGGUCUGCUGGAACAGAAGGUGCUGACAGGGGUGGGAGUGAAGGAAGGCCUCCUUUCAGUUUACUAAUUCUGCAGCCGCCCUCCACAAACUCCAGCAAAUAUUUUGUGAUGUUGCAAGGUGUUACGAGAAGUGCAAAGCAAGCUGUGAUUCAGCUGGUAUGAAGACUUUGCAAACAAAAAAGGGUGAUCCGUUUUGCAGCAGGCUAUUACUUCUGCCAGAGUCCUCAGACUGGAAUACUAAAAGAGAGAUUUCUGCAAGACAUUGCCAUCAUACAUGCUGGAUUUUCUAAACAAGACCAAUUUAAAAUAAUUUGGCCCAGUAGGUUCCAACUUGUGGCCCUCAGACCUCCAGGCACUGCAAGGAAUCUGCAAACCCAUUAAUUUGAACUGAAAGACAAGAGGAAAGAUGCAGUUGUUGGCAGAGUGGAGCCAGAAGGGUCAUGUGGACUCAGGUGCUGGAAUAGCAACUGAUGGGCCUUGUACAAGCUAUUUUGAGGGAAAGUGCCAUGAACCCUAUGGAUAAAGAAAGUUAAAGAAGAUAUCAAAGGAGCCAAAUUUUGGAGGAUGGAAAGCAGAGACACCUGGUAACAGUUGGCAGACCUGAAGAGUCAUUAUAAAGUGACAUUAAUAUAGGAAAAAAAUUUAGAAUCUUCAACAGGCCCAAGAACUGACGGCACCUCUGGAAGUACUGUGAAUUGGGAAUGUUGACUUAGGAAGACCAAUUAAAUGAAAGAUCUGUGAGAAUCAUGUGAAUUCUUGGAUUUCUUCUUUCACCCCAUUCCUUACCACUGGUUGAUUGUCUCUCCCACACUCACCAAAGUCUUGAGGUGAAGGCUACUGAGAGGAAAAUAGAUAGCUUCGAGAUGAAGGAGCACGAGGCACAGGUGAGGGUAUUUAAAGACUCCCUGCUCUCUUCUUCCACUUAAUCCUUCAGGCAAGAGAAAUUAGAGGACUAUCUGAUGGGGAAUACCUAGAUAUAAAAUUUAAGAGUCCACUCAUGAACAUCCCAGACAGAUCAUCCUACAUCAGCAAUUCUCAGCUGAAGGCUUAUGGCAAUCUCUAGAGACAUGUUGAAUUGCCACAAACCCAGGGGCUGGGGUUACCAAUGGCAUGGGAUGUGCUACUGGCAUCUAGCACAUAGAAGUCAAGGAUGCUACUGAACAUCCUAUAGUGCACAAGGAAAGUUUCCUUCAACAAAGAGUUAUCCAGUCAAAAGUGUCAUUAGAGAAACUCUGCCUUACAUUAAACCCAUGGUCAACUGGCCCACCAGUAUAAGCAGAGUUGCCAAACAAUCCAACAGUGUCCCUGCUCUAUUAAGAGUAAGCAGACAACAAAAAAAUGAUCAUAUAGCUGAGAAUCAAGCUGGAACUACCAGUCAGUUAUGAGAUCACAAGA
This is a long non-coding RNA of Marmota monax (woodchuck), 12123 nucleotides long. RefSeq lists it as uncharacterized. Lineage: Eukaryota; Metazoa; Chordata; Mammalia; Rodentia; Sciuridae. The record is from RefSeq and is a predicted model, not a curated record. The transcript is spliced from 5 exons.